UCCUGCGAGUACAGUGGCAGACGGGUGAGUAACACGUGAACAACCUACCCUCGAGUGGGGAAUAACACCGCGAAAGCGGUGCUAAUACCGCAUAAAAUCUUUGGGUCGCAUGAGCUGAAGAUCAAAAGCGCAAGUUGCUUGAGGAGGGGUUCGCGGCUGAUUAGCUAGUUGGUGAGGUAACGGCCCACCAAGGCAACGAUCAGUAGCCGGCCUGAGAGGGCGGACGGCCACACUGGAACUGAGACACGGUCCAGACUCCUACGGGAGGCAGCAGUGGGGAAUUUUGCGCAAUGGGCGAAAGCCUGACGCAGCAACGCCGCGUGGAGGAUGAAGGCCUUCGGGUCGUAAACUCCUGUCGAUGGGGACGAAAGCCUGCAAAGGUUUGACUGUACCCGUUGAGGAAGCCACGGCUAACUCCGUGCCAGCAGCCGCGGUAAUACGGAGGUGGCAAGCGUUGUUCGGAAUUACUGGGCGUAAAAGGCGCGUAGGCGGCUUGGCAAGUCAGAUGUGAAAGCCCCGGGCUUAACUCGGGAAUUGCAUCUGAAACUGCUUUGCUUGAGUUCUGGA
RNAcentral lists this ribosomal RNA (567 nucleotides) under uncultured bacterium. Its description in RNAcentral is "bacterial SSU rRNA". It matches the Rfam family "Bacterial small subunit ribosomal RNA", at positions 82 to 653 of the family's 1533-position model. The record is from RNAcentral.